UUUUUUUUUUUUUUUUUUUUUUUUUUUUAAUAGGCUUCCAAGAAGACUAUUUUGGGAUAGAUACAAAUGAAGAAAACCUAAACAAAAUCAGCAGUCCUCCCUUUGGCAGCCCGUUUACAAGUUUCAAGUAAGAAUUCAAUGAUGUUUUGAACAUCAGUAAUGAUGUUUUCUAAUGUAUUCACCCUCCUGGAGAUAAGCAGCAAUCUGUGUGUUCCAACACUUUGGUAUUCCCUGUUGAACUAGACUUUGAAGCACAUUUUUCUAACACAUCUGCAAUGCCCCCUGAUUUAGCCUCCUCAAGGAAGGUGGAAGACCUACCCACUCUCAAGGUUUCAGUUUCUCCAGCCCUGACCAUCAUAAGUGUGUUAGAUUGAGAAAUUCAGUUGCAAUGAAAAGCAUAAAGUAAGGAACUAAGAGUGCUUAUUUCACUCUCCCCUGACAGAUAUUGGCAGAGAGAAAAUAUAAAUUUAACAGUGUCCUAAGGGCUCAGGUGAGUUUUACCUCACUUACGAACACCUUAAAAAUAACAAAAAUUGCUGGUAAGCCAGCUAACUCAGCCAAGAAGUUCCUUUUUCCACAUUUUGUAAUGUAAACUCUUGAGGGAAAAAAUUGGUACUGCCCUUGUCAAAUUAAAUAAUCGCUUCAGACACGUUAACUCCAGGCUGUUUUCUAAUAAUGAUGGCUUGAGGAACAGGCGCAUCUAGUAUGUGUAAAAGAGAUAAAGAUGGAAUGUGUGUUCUUAUAUUCAUGAUUAAAAAUGGACCAUAGAGAGUCUAGUUCUCUAUAGAUUUCCUUUGUUUCAAUCAGAAUAUUUUUUUGCAAGUGGUGAUUUUAAACAAAAAUUUCAUAAGAUUUUAUACAUUGCCUACAAUUCAACCUCAGUUUUUUGGGAAGGGGUGGAAGAAAAGAAUCAGGCACAUGCUGUGAAUAAACAAUUGAGUCUUCCAACCCUCUUAGUUCAAGACCAGGAUGAGUAAUGAAGUGAGGUUCUCCUGCCUUCAUAUUUACCUUACAAAAGAUUUUAGCAAACACAAGACGCCAAAUACCAUGGACAUUUAAAAAUACAUGUUUUUUUUUUAAAGCAUUUCUAUUUUCUUGUGGAGCAGUUAACCACAAGGGUUUGGUUGUCAAUUCAUGGAUGAUUAUCAUGAUAUGAUUCGAACUUUGUGACAGGAUCAGAAAAUCCUCCUCACUUCCUCUAGCAGUGCUGCUUGUCUUUAUGGCAUUUCUAAAGGUACCAAAUAUGAGAUCAAACAUGGCCAGCAAUGCCUUUUUAAAUUCAGUUUUAGAGUAAUCAAGAGUCCUAUUGCUGACUGCAGCAAUAUUUUCAGAACCUGUACCCACAAAGGUCUUCAAAGACUGGAGGCAUAAUUCACAGAUUGCUAAUUACCUGUUUGAAUUCCAUCUUUCUUUCAAAGAAGCAUGUAAAAAUAUUUCUAAUGAACUGUGCAAUCAAGAACAAAUAGAUGAGAUGCUUUCAAUCCAUAAGCCUACAUAUCAACAAUUCAAUAUAAUUACUUUAACCAUCAGAAUGUUUUAUUUGUGUACCAAGUAUACCAAAGCAGAGUCAUAUCUUAAGGAACCAGAAGGCAAGAGAUAGGUGGGCAGACAGAAAGGGAAGGAAAGGAGAAGUGAGGAUGAGAGUGGAAAAGAAAGAAAACAGCUGCUUGUGCGUCUCUUCCUGGGCCUCAGAUCGCAAAAGGGAAUUGAUUGAUGUGGUAACUGGCAGGGAGUGAGUUAUCUAUGUUUGAAUGGGGGUCAGGUGAGGGAAUGGAUCCAUUUUUCACACAGAAGAGUCACCUAGCAUGCCCUAGCACUAUUUUUGCCAGUGCUCCAAAAGGCCUAACCUCUUGUUGGAGAGACGAUUGCUCCCUGAGAUGGAAAGAGAAUCGGGAACUGAUAAUAAGAGGGUUGGCCUGACAGACACAAUAUCAGAAUGUCUGAGACAAAGGGACAAGGUCAGGACCUGGAAAAGCACCAUUGUUUCUGACGCCCAUUUGGGAGGGGUAGGAGAUACUCUCACAGUUUAUAGCAUAUUUCCUGUGCCAGGAGGUGUCCAAGUGGCCUGUGCCAACAUCACCCAGGUGUCACCACUUUCACACAUGUAGCCCAUGUCCUGCACUAGACAGCCAUGAGACCACGAUGUUCUAAACUGUACUUCCUGUUAGUUAACUAUUGAGCUUUCUGGAUACAUUUAGCCCAGGAGAAGGCAAUCGUAUUAAAUUUCUAUUAUGUACUAGGGACUGCAUACCAAAUUUUAUAUGUAUAUACAUACAUGCUUAUAUGUGUAUAUAUAAAGAAAUGUGUAUAUAUAUAUGUGUCUAUACAGAAAGACUAUACUAUUUGACUGUAUUAUAUAAAAUAGUGGAGUUUAAUACAGUAUUAUAUAUACACACAUGUGUAUAUAUAAAUAAAUAUAUGUAUCUACUAUACACAUAUACACACAACAGAUAUAUAGUAGAAACUUAAUAUGGUAUAUUUUAUACAUACACAGAUAUGUGUAUGUAUAUAUGUUUAUAUAUAGAAUGUAUUAUGUGACUGCAUUAUAUAUAGUAGAAUUUAAUGCCAUUUAUAUGUCUGAUACCAUAUUCCUGAGACUAUAUACCAAGCAUUAAAUUCUUAUAUAUUGAUAUCAGUCAUAACAGUCAACAUAUAAAGUCAAAUAUUCAUUCUGCAUUCUGCAUUCAGGCAUUCCAUACUUACUAAAGGCUUUCCUAUGAACAUAGUACUGUGGCACAUACUGUGGGGAUAGAGAACCAAAGAGAAUAUGGUUCCUGUGAUCCAAAUGAGCUUCAAGCCAUAUGAAGGAGAAGGCAUGUCAUUAACUCAUAGAAUACAAAACAAUAUGAAGCAGGUACACCAAUGCAGUCAAAACCAGAUGCUAAGAAUGUCCAAAGGAAGGAGAGAUUGGUAGGACUUGGUCAAAGAGUGAGAAGGAGAAAUGUUUCUUGAAGGAGAUGCUUUUGAACUCAUUUUAAUGGCUAAAGGAGUAAGAGUUAUAUAAGCUAGUAAAGGAAUGUGAGUCAGAGCAUGAGGUAAGGAGGGUAUGGCAUGCUCAGGGAUAGCAAGUAGAUUCACUUGCCUGGAGAUAAGGGUACAGCAAGGGAGCCAAGCUACUGGUAACAGGUGGGACAAGAUUGUCUAUUGAUGUGGAUGCCAUGGUGAGUCAGUAUCAGAAGAUGGGGGCCAUUAUGGAUAUGGUCAGGGCUGACAAUGUGGAAGACAAGGCAUUUCAACUAUGUAAUGAAAGAUAAAUAUUAUUUCUAUAGUCUGAGGUGUGAUGUAAAAGUACAUUCCAGGAUAAAAGGAUUGCAAUAGAGAAGGGGCAGAAAUAAUAAAAUAUAGUGUGGACUUAGGGAAUGGUACAAGUAUGAUAAGAAACUUUCAUUCCUGGCAUAUAUUAUGGGUCAAUAAAAAUUUGUUGAAUGAAUGAAUAAAUGAUUGAUCAUAGAGAAGUAAGGCAAAAAGAAGUUUCAAAAUCUAGGUUGGAGCCGAACUUUGAAUUAUUAGACUAACAAGUCAGGUCUUUAUUCAAUAGCCAAUGGGGAGACACUAAAGGAUUUUAAAAGGAAGGAGUGACAGGAUUAACACUGUGAUCUGAAAGAUGAAUCUGGUAUUGAGGUAAAGGCUGGGUUAGAGAGUGGUUGUCACAAAGAAUAGGCUAUUUCUAUAUCAAAGGAAAUAAAAGUCAAAGAUGAAUUGUCUUUCAAGGCAGAUCAUUCAUUCAUAGAUACUUACACAUUUUCCACUGUAUGCCAGUCAUAGAUUUAUACAAAUCAGGGAAUAAAUGGCCUACAGUCCUACUCUCAAGUAGCUUGACUUCUAGGCAGUGGAGACAAACAUUAAACAAUAGGUAUCAUAAAAAAUAUAAAUGAUGUAGCAUGUUUGAAGAUGUUAAGUAUUAUGGAAAAAGUAGAGCAGGAUAUGGUGAAUUUUAGCACUGAGGGAAGAAGUAGGAUGGGAUGCUAUAUUGAAUAAAGUUGUCAGGGUAGACCUCAUGGAAGAGGGGUGAUAUGAGCAAUGCACAAAAGAGAUGGAAGGAAUUAGCCAAGCUUGUAUCUGGGGGAAAAAACAUACUAGGCAGAUGGAAUAACAGGAGAAUGUGUAACAAGUUCAAUCAACAACAAGAAUGGCAGUACACCUACUUCAGAGUAAGCAAGAAGGGGCAGAAGAGGAAAUGAAAUCAUGAUAAAUCCAGGAUAAAUCUUGAAGGUUUUUUACAGGCCAUCAAAAGGACUUUGGCUUUCACCUUGAGUGGACCAGGAAAUUUUGGAGCAUUUGAGGCAAAGAGUAACACCAUCUGGCUUAUACUUUUUAAGGAAUACAGGAGUGUGCAUUGAGGGAAACUGUAAAGGAGAAAGGACAGAACAGGAAGAUCCAUGAGGAGGGCACAGCAGUAAUCCAAGUGAGACAGGACAAUGGUCACACUAGGAUACAACAAGGAAGGUGGUCAGAAGUGAGCAGGAUAUAUUUUCAUGGUGAAACCAAUGGGAUUUCCUCCUGACAAAUUGGAUAGAGGUGUGAAAGAAAGGGAAGAGUCAAGGAUGAGUCAAAGGGUUUGUGUUUUGUUUUAGGCUGGACAACUAGAAAGAUAGAAUUGCUAUAAAAUAAGGUAGAGAGGAUUGAGGUUGGAACAGAUGUGUGCAUGCAAUUCAGUGCCUGUCAAGCUCAAGAUGUCUAUUUAGCUAUCCAAGCAGCUAUGUUCAAUAGGCAAUGGUAUGUAGGGGUCUGCGGAGAGGUCUGAGAUAGAGACAUAACUGGGGAUGUGCUCUGCAUAUAAUCUACAUAAAACAGGAUGAGACAGGAUGAAAUUACCAAAGGUGCAAGUACAGAUGAGGGAGACAAAAGAAGAGGAUCAAGGACCGGUUACAGAGGCAAUCAACAUUAAGACAUUACGUGGAAUAAUGGUGUUGUCCCUAAGAAAACAGAUAAUCUGAGUAUGGUGGGAAAUGGUUGGUUCAAUAAAUGAAUUCUAUUUUCUACAUGUUAUGUUUGAAGUGAAAUUAUGAAAUUCAUGUGACAACUAAUGGUGUGCUGGUAAAUAUUAAACAGGGGAGAGGAGUAUAAUUUGUAGACUUUGCCAAUUUCUCUGGUGUAUGUGCUCCCAUCACCAAUUUAAAACUACCAACUUGCUUUAGUGGCUGAUGGAAAAGAUCCAAAACAAAAAUUUAUUAAUUUUUUGAUUUUGAGAAAUCAGCCCUAGGGUGGGGACAAUUAAAAUCAUAGGAAAGGAUGAAAUCUUCAGAGGACAUAUUGUGAUAAACAGGAGAAAACUAAAGGCAAGAUAUGGGUAAGUGAUCCUAUUAAGGGGGUUUGAGAGAUUUCCAAUGAAGAAAGAAGAGCAAGAAGCUAAAUUCUGGAACGGUUUUAUAAACUGGGAUCAUUUUACUACUGUUGCAAAGUAUUUAUUUUCUCUUUUUUUUCCUACUUUUUCCCUGAUAGGUGAAAGUACAUCAGACUCAGAUAAGAAUUUUUUUCUUUUAGCCCCUGAGAGAAUGGGCACUCAAAAUUAUUUUCAUAUCUGUAUAAGAAUUCUCAUAUGAACUUGUUUAUGAAUAAUUUUAACCACUUACAGCUUUCCUUAAAAUAAAAUGUCAUCAGGAUAUCUACAUACUCCAACACAAAUAUCAUUUGGAUUUUCCAAAUGGUCAAUGUGGUUUUUCAGAUAUGUUCAAAAAAAUUUUAAGUCAAUUGACAUUUGAUACAAGGCAUUGGAUUUAGCAGCCAAAAGCCCUGCUAUGAUUAAGAAAAACCAUGAGGAAACAGUUGUGUCUAGACAGUUUGCUUUUUUGAGUGCAACUUAGCUUCGCUGAUAAAGAAUAGAUUCAAAAGAGUAUGGUUAAUUCUUAGUCACUUAGAUACAAGUCAUGCUAUGGAUAAUGAGACAUAUAACAAUCAGACACAUACUACAACUUUUUAAAAGCUCUAUGUAUCUUUGAAGUACAGUCCAUAUGUGUGGUGAUCACAUUUCUAGAAUUUUUCAGGACAGUCUCAGUGUCCUCAGAAAUGUAUUUGUAAUUGUCAAAUCAUGUAUUCUAAUUUUUGCAUUUGAAAAACAUGAACACUGUUAGCAGAUUUGUGUUGGGCUAAAUUAAAUUUAGAUUCCACCCCCAAUGUCUGCUGGAUGGUAGACAGAAGCCUACUAAAUCUAAGGAUUCCUUGUAGAAAAUGCACUCAAAGCCUAACCCACAUGCUCCUUGGGUCUCUGCUUUCAGGAGAGCUUGGCCAGCAUAAGCUUGCUAUAAUAUUACAAGUUUUCUCAAAUUGUAGUUGAAUGUUCGCCCUAGUUUUUAGGAGCCCCUCUGAAUCAAAAGAGCUCUAUGUUCACAGGACAUUGAAAUUAUGACUUGAAAAGAAAAAAAAA
RNAcentral lists this long non-coding RNA (6364 nucleotides) under Canis lupus familiaris (dog). RNAcentral's name for it is "lncRNA (ENSCAFG00000057105.1)". Lineage: Eukaryota; Metazoa; Chordata; Mammalia; Carnivora; Canidae. The record is from RNAcentral.